CAAGUCGAACGCGAAAGGGGCUUCGGCCCUGAGUAGAGUGGCGAACGGGUGAGUAACACGUGGGUGACCUACCUUCGAAUGGGGGAUAACGUCCCGAAAGGGACGCUAAUACCGCAUAACAUCCUGUCUUUGAAGAGAUGGAGAUCAAAGCUGGGGAUCGCAAGACCUGGCGUUUGAAGAGGGGCCCGCGUCCGAUUAGCUAGUUGGUGAGGUAACGGCUCACCAAGGCAACGAUCGGUAGCCGGCCUGAGAGGGCGGACGGCCACACUGGGACUGAGACACGGCCCAGACUCCUACGGGAGGCAGCAGUGGGGAAUUGUUCGCAAUGGGCGCAAGCCUGACGACGCAACGCCGCGUGGAGGAUGAAGGUCUUCGGAUUGUAAACUCCUGUUGCCCGGGACGAAAUGCUUCGACCUAACACGUCGAAGUUUGACGGUACCGGGUGAGGAAGCCCCGGCUAACUCUGUGCCAGCAGCCGCGGUAAUACAGAGGGGGCAAGCGUUGUUCGGAAUUACUGGGCGUAAAGGGCGCGUAGGCGGCCUUCUAAGUCGAACGUGAAAUCCCCGGGCUCAACCCGGGAACUGCGUCCGAUACUGGAAGGCUUGAAUCCGGGAGAGGGAUGCGGAAUUCCANGUGUAGCGGUGAAAUGCGUAGAUAUCUGGAGGAACACCGGUGGCGAAGGCGGCAUCCUGGACCGGCAUUGACGCUGAGGCGCGAAAGCCAGGGGAGCAAACGGGAUUAGAUACCCCGGUAGUCCUGGCCCUAAACGAUGAAUGCUUGGUGUGGCGGGUAUCGAUCCCUGCCGUGCCGAAGCUAACGCAUUAAGCAUUCCGCCUGGGGAGUACGGUCGC
RNAcentral lists this ribosomal RNA (851 nucleotides) under uncultured Acidobacteriota bacterium. Its description in RNAcentral is "bacterial SSU rRNA". It matches the Rfam family "Bacterial small subunit ribosomal RNA", at positions 58 to 889 of the family's 1533-position model. Lineage: Bacteria; Pseudomonadati; Acidobacteriota. The record is from RNAcentral.